UUGUUGACCGUUUUUCAUGGAGAAUCCAUCUUUUCAACAAUAAAGAUGGAGGAGAGGACCAAGUCAGAGAACUGUUGACAAAGACAGGACACAUUGGAACAGAGAGAGACAGAAACUAUGAUCAAAUGGGUGAGGUUGAAGAUUCCUCUACCACAAUGAAGGUACCCAGCACUGAUGAUGAACCAAAGGAUCUUAUCCAACACAUGUUGGACCCUGAUGCAACAUGUGUUGAAACUGAUACUGACGAUCAACAAGCUGGUACAAACG
This is a long non-coding RNA of Poeciliopsis prolifica (blackstripe livebearer), 267 nucleotides long. RefSeq lists it as uncharacterized. The transcript is spliced from 3 exons. The record is from RefSeq and is a predicted model, not a curated record. NCBI's taxonomy places the organism in Eukaryota, Metazoa, Chordata, Actinopteri, Cyprinodontiformes, Poeciliidae.